UACAGAGGGUGCGAGCGUUGUCCGGAAUCACUGGGCGUAAAGGGCGCGUAGGUGGCUUGCUAAGCGUGUGGUGAAAGCCCGGGCUCAACCCCGGGUCGGCCGUGCGAACUGGCGAGCUGGAGCACUGUAGAGGCAGGUGGAAUUCCGGGUGUAGCGGUGGAAUGCGUAGAGGAAUCCCGGAACGAAGCACCGGUGGGCGAAGGCGGCCUGCUGGGCAGUUGCUGACAGCUGAGGCG
This 236-nucleotide ribosomal RNA is filed under the name uncultured bacterium. RNAcentral's name for it is "partial 16S ribosomal RNA". It matches the Rfam family "Bacterial small subunit ribosomal RNA", at positions 524 to 753 of the family's 1533-position model. The record is from RNAcentral.